This is a long non-coding RNA of Ictalurus punctatus (channel catfish), 347 nucleotides long. The record is from Ensembl. NCBI's taxonomy places the organism in Eukaryota, Metazoa, Chordata, Actinopteri, Siluriformes, Ictaluridae.
CCCGUCCUCUGUAUUCUUUAGAUACAGGCUAGACAAAGAGAUGGACAAAUCAAUCUUAAUAUUAAUCAUCUGUCCUCCUGACAGAGCUUUACAGAGAGAAGACCUUUGCCCCCAUCCACACUUAAAUUACCUGCCCAUUGUUUCUCCACCCGCAUAGCUACUGGCAAUAAUUUUCCAGCUCCACCUGGGUUGCUUAACCUGAGAUGUGCUCUUCAGUGAUUGGGCCAGACUAGAGCUCCGCUGCCCAGGGUGCGGAUGUCUCCCUCCAUCAGCUGAAAAAUGAAUCAGCCCCAUUUAGGCAGCACAAUGCAGAUGUUUGCGUUGUCUUCACUGCACUUCUUAGUCAU